Long non-coding RNA from Oncorhynchus tshawytscha (Chinook salmon), 1006 nucleotides. NCBI's taxonomy places the organism in Eukaryota, Metazoa, Chordata, Actinopteri, Salmoniformes, Salmonidae. The record is from Ensembl.
CCCAAGUGCAGACUGUGUUGAAGUUACAAUGUUUAUUACAGCAACAGGGGCAGGCAAACGACAAGUCAAGGCAAGCAGGGGUCGAUAAUCCAGAGAGGUGGGGCCAAGGCACAGGACGGCAGGCAGGCUCAGGUCAGGCAGAGGUCAGAAAUCCAGAGUAGGGGGCAACGGGUCAGGACAGCAGGCAGGGUCAGGCAGAGUGGUCAGGCAGGUGGGCUCAGAGUCCGGACAGGCAAAGAUCAAAACCAGAAGGGCGACUGGGGAAAAGCGGGAGCUGAGAAAACCGCUGGUUGACUUGACAAACAAAACAAACUGGCAACAGACAAACACAGGUAUAAGUACCCAGGGGAUAAUGGGGAAAAUGGGCAACAUCUGGAGGGAGGGGGUGUGGGGGGGGGUUGAGACAAGCACAAGGACAGGUGAAACAGAUGAGGGAGUGACAUCACAAUGAAGAGAAUAACGUUCAUAUACAUAAUUAUGCAUUUCUGUGAAGUACAUUCCGUUACCGGGUGUAAAUCCACUUCACUUACUGUAGUUCAAUAACCAAAAUAGAUUUUUUCUAAGUUAAUGUGUCAUGUCAUAGUAUGUCAUUAGUUUUUGGAAAACUAAAAACAAACUGAGGGAGAUUUGACUGGAAUUCUGUGACCAAACUUUGCAUUUGCACAGUUCUUCCAGUAAAUGUGUCUUAGUAAAAAUCUGUGUAAAUUGUAAAAAAAAAAAAAUCAAAUAAAGGUAGUCCUUGUGCAUAGACAUGUAUAGUUUGUUAAACUUUGAAAGCAAGGGUUUUUGUUCGGCAUACAUUUGAAGUGAAAAAUCUGAGUCUCAGAGCAAUUCGGUCACCGUGGAAUUGCCCACAUGCAGUGCACUUGAACUUUUGACAAAACUCAUUCAGUAUUAAUACUCAAUGAGUAUUGAAUGAUAACGCCCACUGUGGUUAACACAAACUCUGUUAUUCAACAUGCAUAGGAUGCUAGCCCGUGAGGAACAUUUCUCUCAACAACCUCUG